GCGAGAUCCAACCCGCGCAGACACGGUAGCUAGGGCUCGGUUUCGUCGACUUGGAUGCGAAAGGAGAGCUUCGGGGUUGGUUUGAGGGUUUUAUAGGGGCAUGACCCGCGGAUUGGGAAGGAAUACCGAGGAAACCGGGAUUUCCUGUUCGUUCGGUCUCCGGUUCUGUUACGGUGGAGAAGAAGAACAGGGCGCUGACAGGUGGGCCCGGGGUGUCAGCGGCAGAAGAGAAAAGG
Molecule: long non-coding RNA, 236 nt
Filed under: Sorghum bicolor (sorghum)
Lineage: Eukaryota; Viridiplantae; Streptophyta; Magnoliopsida; Poales; Poaceae
Description: long non-coding RNA (SBIC_LNC013816)
Source: RNAcentral